Molecule: ribosomal RNA, 351 nt
Filed under: Eumenotes obscura
Lineage: Eukaryota; Metazoa; Arthropoda; Insecta; Hemiptera; Dinidoridae
Description: partial 12S ribosomal RNA
Source: RNAcentral
UGAUACCCUAUUAUUAAUAAUGUAAAUUUGUCUUUGUAGUAUUGUUAGUUUUGAUCUUUAAAUUAAAAGGAUUUGACGGUAAUUUGAUCAUUCCAGAGGAACCUGUCCUGUAAUUGAUAAUCCACGAUAAAUUUUACCUUAAUUGUAUUGGUUUGUAUAUCUCUGUUUAUAUGAGUGUUUUAAUAGAAUAUUAUAUUCUCUUUCAUUAUUUAAUAUAAUUUAUAUCAGGUCAAGGUGCAGCUAUAUUAAGGGUUGAGAUGGGUUACAUUAAUUUGUUAAAUUAUGGAUUUUAUUUAUAAUUGAUGAAUUUCUUAAAUGAAAUUGGAUUUGGUAGUAAUAGUUAUUAUUUAU